GAUGAACGCUAGCUACAGGCUUAACACGUGCAAGUCGCGGGGCAGCAUGGGGGUUGCUUGCAAUCCCCGAUGGCGACCGGCGCACGGGUGAGUAACGCGUAUCCAACCUGCCCUUCACCACGGGAUAACCCGGCGAAAGUCGGACUAAUACCGUAUGUUGUCCAUUGACGGCAUCCGAUUUGGACGAAAGGUUUGGCGGUGAAGGAUGGGGAUGCGUCCGAUUAGCUGGACGGCGGGGUGACGGCCCACCGUGGCGACGAUCGGUAGGGGUUCUGAGAGGAAGGUCCCCCACACUGGAACUGAGACACGGUCCAGACUCCUACGGGAGGCAGCAGUGAGGAAUAUUGGUCAAUGGGCGUAAGCCUGAACCAGCCAAGUAGCGUGCAGGAUGACGGCCCUAUGGGUUGUAAACUGCUUUUAUGCGGGGAUAAAGUGGCCCACGUGUGGGUUUUUGCAGGUACCGCAUGAAUAAGGACCGGCUAAUUCCGUG
RNAcentral lists this ribosomal RNA (490 nucleotides) under uncultured bacterium. Its description in RNAcentral is "partial 16S ribosomal RNA". It matches the Rfam family "Bacterial small subunit ribosomal RNA", at positions 28 to 507 of the family's 1533-position model. The record is from RNAcentral.